This 392-nucleotide ribosomal RNA is filed under the name uncultured bacterium. RNAcentral describes it as "partial 16S ribosomal RNA". It matches the Rfam family "Bacterial small subunit ribosomal RNA", at positions 523 to 918 of the family's 1533-position model. The record is from RNAcentral.
ACACGUAGGGGCCUGACGUUGUUCGGAAUCAUUGGGCGUAAAGGGCGCGCAGGCGGCCGUCCAAGUCCGGUGUUAAAUGGUCGGGCUCAACCCGAUCAUGCGCUGGAAACUGGGCGGCUUGAGUCCCGUAGGGGAUGCCGGAAUUCCAGGUGUAGGGGUGAAAUCUGUAGAUAUCUGGAAGAACACCGAUGGCGAAGGCAGGCAUCUGGCCGGAGACUGACGCUGAGGCGCGAAGGCGCGGGGAGCGAACAGGUUUAGAUACCCUGGUAGUCCGCGCAGUAAACGAUGCGCACCAGGUGUCGGGCGGCAGCGCCCGGUACCGGAGCUAACGCGAUGAGUGCGCCGCCUGGGGAGUAUGCCCGCAAGGGUGAAACUCAAAGGAAUUGGCGGGG